GAGUUUGAUCCUGGCUCAGGAUGAACGCUGGCGGCGCGCCUAACACAUGCAAGUCGAACGAGAGAGAGGGAGCUUGCUUCCUCGAUCGAGUGGCGAACGGGUGAGUAACGCGUGAGGAACCUGCCUCAAAGAGGGGGACAACAGUUGGAAACGACUGCUAAUACCGCAUAAGCCCACGACCCGGCAUCGGGUUGAGGGAAAAGGAGCAAUCCGCUUUGAGAUGGCCUCGCGUCCGAUUAGCUAGUUGGUGAGGUAAUGGCCCACCAAGGCAACGAUCGGUAGCCGGACUGAGAGGUUGAACGGCCACAUUGGGACUGAGACACGGCCCAAACUCCUACGGGAGGCAGCAGUGGGGAAUAUUGCACAAUGGGGGAAACCCUGAUGCAGCAACGCCGCGUGAGUGAAGAAGUAUUUCGGUAUGUAAAGCUCUAUCAGCAGGGAAGAAAAAAAUGACGGUACCUGACUAAGAAGCCCCGGCUAACUACGUGCCAGCCGCCGCGGUAAUUC
This 507-nucleotide ribosomal RNA is filed under the name uncultured bacterium. RNAcentral describes it as "bacterial SSU rRNA". It matches the Rfam family "Bacterial small subunit ribosomal RNA", at positions 9 to 526 of the family's 1533-position model. The record is from RNAcentral.